Manis javanica (Malayan pangolin) is the source of this 3664-nucleotide long non-coding RNA. RefSeq lists it as uncharacterized. The record is from RefSeq and is a predicted model, not a curated record. NCBI's taxonomy places the organism in Eukaryota, Metazoa, Chordata, Mammalia, Pholidota, Manidae.
GGCCCGGAGGAGGGCGGACGAGUAGGGGACCCCUCGGCAAGCGCGGGCCUCGCCCCAGGACCCCGGGCCCCGCGUUGGCCGGCGGUGCGCUGUCAGCACAUGGGCAAAGCCACACGGCGUGUUUUCAGCACACAGUUCUGUUUUCCAGUGUAAAUCUGCAUUUCUGCUCCUCGGAUUUCCCCGAACGUCCCCCGCCCCCACUUCCCCGGAGAUCUCGUGAAAGCGGGGAGCAGAUCAGGCGUGAGCGUGAGACGGAGAGGGCGGCGGGGAGCAGAGCCUCAUCAGGCGGCGCAGGAGGGCUUGGGGGGCGGACGGAAGAUGCGAGUCGGGUGAACUGGCGGGACCCCCCGGGAAGGGAGCCGCGGCGCCGCCAACCCCCAGAGCAACCAGACCGCCCGGCGGCAGGCUGGCGACGGCAGGAGGGUCUGCGCACCCGACGGAGAGCAGGGGGCGCGGGGGCCCGCGUGUCUGCCCGGGCGGCCGCGGCCCCACCCAAGCACGGUGCCUGCGGCGGGGGGCUCACCCCGAGGGCCUGCCGUCCAGGGGCUGCCGUGGGGACGCGGGGCUGUGCCUUCCCACAAGCAGGUCCCCAGCGUACGAGAGACGCGGGCGCACCCUUCUCGGGGACGCAGCGGCCUGGCCGAAGGCCCUGAACCCUUCUCUGGUGGAAACAGUAACUCACACACACCCAUUAAUUCAAUAUCCCAACAGCCCCAAGCUUCCAAUGUGAAGAAGCUACUGGGUUUUGUCUUCCAGCAAGAGGAUGUGGGGUCCAGAACGCAGCGAACCCAGGGGAGCACCCGCACGGCAGGUGACAAGGAGAGUUCCUUGUGGUCGGCUUGGGGGCAGCUCCUCCGCACCAGGGGACACCUCCUCGCCAACUGGGCUGCUGAUGGCCCAGUGAGGUUCUCCGCCCCAAGAGGAGCUGCCUAGCUCCGCCUGGAAGGUCCGGCGCAGAAUGUGCCCCAUUUCUGUGGUGUUGAUGGGAUGUACUCCGGAGCCCGCCCUUCCCUCCAGAUGGAAGUCCAGCCACAGCAGGAGCCCUCGGCCACCCUGUGUCUCCCAUGCCAAACGGCCUGCAUCUUGGGAAGCUGCUGCUCAGAAUGUGUCAGUGACCGGGCGGGAUGCUGGCCCAGCGCCCCUGGAGCCCCGGGUCCCCGGGCAGACACCCCCCCCACAGGAGGUGCCACAGCACUGACGGCAGAAACCAGAAAAUAGCCACAGUCCACAUCCUUCUUGUGGCACUGGGAAAGUCUACAACUCCAGAGCAGGCUGGGAGUUAAGGAGGGCAGACGGAGCACUUAAAUCUGGAUGUUUUAAAGUCAUAUUUUCUACCUCCUGGAAAAGAAGGAAAUGCAGACUGUGUGUCCAACACGCAGAGCUGCUGAGGGAGCUGCCCACCCCCAUCUGCCUGGCUGAUUCCUGGGAGCCAAAUGCUCAAUAAUUCAGAAGGAGCAAGAAUCAGCAUAUCUUACAGCAUAUUUGAUGCAGCCACAGCCUGCAGACUUGUUUCAUUCCCGUUAUGUCUCUGUGGCCAGCAAAAGCCCAGCAACACGGAGAGCCAGGCCCGCGGCACGGCCAGUGCGGUGUCUCUGUUUCUCCUCCUCCAGGGGCAGCCACGGCCCUCGCCCCUCUUCAUACUCCCUUUAUCUGCUAUUGUUCUCGCCUAUCAUCUUACCUGGGGUCAAGUGACUCUCCCCCACGCAGGAGUGAGGGCUCGGCUUCAUUUCAAGGCCCCUUCUGAUCUCCAGGCUAAUUGGCUCAGGUAUAAACCAAGCCAGCAGGGCCACGACUUUGAAGUGGCAGGGCUGUGCCGUGCCUGGAACAUCCUGGUCUGUGUGUCACAUGCCCAUCGGCCGGCCUGCUGCUAAGGCCACUAAUGAAAAUGCCAGUGGUCGCUGUGCAUUACAGGUUCGCAUCCACGCUGGCACUUCACUGUAAGCUUGCCAUUAACUUUGCAGGCUGCGCCUAGAAUGCAAUCCGACCUGUUUUUAGUAAGGGGAGGGUGUGUGCCAGACCAUGCAAGUCGCAUGGGGACACCAGCUGUUCCUCCUCUACAUAGUGUGCCACCCCACGCUUUGAUCAACAAUGCUGUUUCGCUUGAAAGGGGGCUCAUUUUGUAAAGGUGCAGGGUGGGCCCCUGCCCUGUGCCUGUGGCCUGCUGUCUGCAUGCACAAUUACGGAAAGGUCAGCCCAGCACAGGGGACACUUGCUGUUUCAUCUGAUGCCAUUUUUUCUUGGGCUCUUUAAAGGGCACGCCCACCACAGGGCGCAAACCCAGCCUGCGUUUGGUCACCAGUGAGGCCUUCAGAAGGAAGAAAAGCAAGGAAAUGCAGCUGAGACUGAUUUUUCUCUGACCCUCUUCAUUUUCCAUAUCCAACCCACAACGUGAAAACAACAUACAGAAUGGCAUCCUUUCCCAGGGCGCCCGGCAGCCGGAAGGUGCCGCAGAACCUUGCCUGUGCUCUGGAACCUGUGGCCCCUGAUCCCUUCUGCUCCUCUUCCAGGCUCUGGCACAUGCAGACUCCCCACACUCAGCUCCAUGCUCAACAAAUGAUUUCCAAAACCACGUCUUCAUCAACGUUUUCAGGAAUGAAACAAGUUCAUGUAGCCGUGUGGUGAGCACAGAAUACAGUGGACACUUCAAUGUUAUUUGAGCAGUGAAAUAUGGGACUUUCAGGAACCUUUGCACUAGAGGCCUGCAAACCCCCAGGCCCCGGGGAUAUAAACGUGCACACGUUUGUGGGCCGGCCCCUUGGGUGGCUGAACCAAGCACCACAGGCUGGGUUGCUUAGACAACUGACAUUUGUUCUGCUGCCCUGCAGGCGGAAGUCCAAGAUCCAGGGAUUCGUCAAGCUUGUCACCCCUGAUGACUCUCCCCUUGGCUGUCGCCCUGCUGCGUCCCCACACGGCGGUCCCCCUGAGCAUCUGUAUCUGGUCUUCCCAUGCAGACAGCAGUCACUUGGAUCAGGGCCACCCCUCGUGGACCGUUCCACCUGUCGCCCCUGUAAAGACCCCAUCUCAGAUGCCACCACACUCUGAGGUGCUGGGCAUUAGGACUUCAGUAUGUGUAUUUUGAGGGACCCAGUCAGUCUCUGGCAGUAGUGAAAUAUGACAAGCCCUUAGCCGGAUGUUACGCCCUGAGCUGUGAUUCGGCUCUUGCUGUGUCCUAACAGAAGCAGGACUUGCACAUCAGGAGGACCAGAGGCCUGGGGUGAUGAGGGCCCCUGGAGGCUGAAGCCCUGACCCGUGUGAAGAGGAUCAGCAUGUAUCUGGGUCCCUGAGAGGCUGGGGGUUAAAUUCUGCUGCUUGCCAAGCAAAGGGGGGGUUCUGAAUCGGGGGUGGCUCCUUUCCUUCAGCACACCUACCAUGACUCUGGCCAGAGUUCUCAGGGAGAAAGGCUAUAAAAAUAAAAGUGACCCAUUUCCCUGAAGUCUUUGUGACACUUCAGACGGUCAGGUUUCCCUGCUGUGGCACCAGCAUGUUCUCCGGCAACUCGAGGCCUGUCCUCUGCUGGACCCCAGCGUCCCUGGAGUGGGGCUCCCUCCGCUGCAGGCAUCACCGCCUCCCAGGGUGCCCGUGUCAGAGCUGCUGAUAUUGGUGCCAGCAACAGCUGAUGCAUAGAAAACUCAGCCUGUUACUCAGUAGUCUCCCAGGCCCCUCA